RNAcentral lists this ribosomal RNA (312 nucleotides) under Triticum aestivum (bread wheat). RNAcentral describes it as "partial small subunit ribosomal RNA". Lineage: Eukaryota; Viridiplantae; Streptophyta; Magnoliopsida; Poales; Poaceae. The record is from RNAcentral.
AUGUUGCAGGAGCACCAGCGGACCUCGGCGCCGAGGGCGGUGAGGGUCUCGAUGAGGACGGCGGUCUGGAUGGUCAUGUGGAGGGAGCCGGAGAUCCGGGCGCCCUUGAAGGGCUGCGAGGGGCCGAACUCGGUGCGGCAGGCCAUGAGGCCGGGCAUCUCGACCUCGGCGAGCUCGAGCUCGAGGCGGCCGAAGUCGGCCUGGGAGAGGUCCUUGACCUUGUACUCCCGGCCCGACGAGGUCUUCUCCACGGAGAGCGCCAUGGAGAAGGUUGGUGGAUUGGAUCUGGCAGAGGAGGAAGAAGAAGAGUGA